RNAcentral lists this unclassified non-coding RNA (240 nucleotides) under soil metagenome. RNAcentral describes it as "partial contains 5.8S ribosomal RNA, internal transcribed spacer 2, and large subunit ribosomal RNA". The record is from RNAcentral.
AACCAUAGAAACCUGCGGAGUACCUGCGGAAGGAUCAUUACAGAGUUGCAAAACUCCCUAAACCAUUGUGAACGUUACCUAAACCGUUGCUUCGGCGGGCGGCCCGGGUCCUUCCCGGCGCCCCUCGGCCCUCGCGGGCGCCCGCCGGAGGUGAACCAAACUAUUGCAUUGUAUGGCCUCUCUGAGUCUUCUGUACUGAAUAAGUCAAAACUUUCAACAACGGAUCUCAGAUCGGAAGAG